This 437-nucleotide ribosomal RNA is filed under the name uncultured bacterium. Its description in RNAcentral is "partial 16S ribosomal RNA". It matches the Rfam family "Bacterial small subunit ribosomal RNA", at positions 28 to 507 of the family's 1533-position model. The record is from RNAcentral.
GAUGAACGCUGGCGGCAUGCCUAACACAUGCAAGUCGGACGGGAAGUGGUGUUUCCAGUGGUGGACGGGUGAGGAACGCGUAAGAACCUGCCUUUGGGAGGGGAACAACAGCUGGAAACGGCUGCUAAUACCCCGUAGUGUGAGGAGCAAAAGGAGGAAUCCGGCAGUGGAGGGGCUUGCGCCUGAUUAGUCAGUUGGUGAGGCAAUAGCCAACCUAGGCGGUGAUCAUUAGCUAGUCAGAGACGAUGAACAUCGACACUGGGACUGAGACACGGCGCGGGCAGCUACGGGAAUGAGCAGAAGGGUAACAUCCAAAAUAAGCGAAAGCCUGAACGGGCAAAGCUGCGUGGAGGUGGAACGCCAGCGAUAAUUGAGCUGGUGAAUCAGGAGGCGAAGUUGUGACGGUAUCUGAGGAGUAAGCAGCGGCUAACUCAGUG